CUAUUUUCUUUGGAGCCACCGGCACACAGAGAGCCGGAAGGAGAGCGAAAAUGCCAGCCGGUCAUGGUCUUCGUUCGCGAACUCGCGAUUUGUUCUCAAGACCCUUCAGGAAGAAGGGUUACAUUCCCUUGACUGUCUAUCUCAGGACCUACAAGAUCGGUGAUUAUGUCGAUGUCAAGGUAAAUGGCGCCGUCCACAAGGGUAUGCCUCACAAAUUCUACCAUGGCCGCACCGGUCGUGUCUGGAAUGUCACCAAGCG
Molecule: unclassified non-coding RNA, 259 nt
Filed under: Hevea brasiliensis (rubber tree)
Lineage: Eukaryota; Viridiplantae; Streptophyta; Magnoliopsida; Malpighiales; Euphorbiaceae
Source: RNAcentral